UGUGCAAAGCUGCCCAUUUAUCGCGUCAAGAAGAGCACAACUCGACGUGUAAAGCGUUGGCCUUGCCAUUAUUAUUGCUACCGCGAUUGUCAUUAUCACCACUGGUACCCCUGGGGGUGGACACAUGGUUGCCACUGGAGAUGUGUGUGGCAUCCCUGCUACUGAAAACCGCAAGGAGAUGCUGCAAGGCCCGUCGGGUGAUAGGGAUAAAUAAAAAUAUCCAGAUGCUAGUGACUAUCAUAUUUUGCUGCUUUGAUUAACAACUUUUGAUUUGGAAGAGCUGAUUUAAAAGUGAAAGAACUUCUAAAAGUACAUUGCAUGCGGCAUUGAGACCUGUAGACUAUAUAGUUUAUACCGUGAAACGGCGAAAGAAAGUCUGCUCUUUUAGACUGCCAAAUCUUUGCAACAAUUUCAGACGAGAUCGAUUGGCUAAGAUGCUAUUGAUUUGUCGAAACAGGGCUCCUGGUAGAAAAAAAUGAUUCAGGAUAAAAAAGCUUGGUUAAAUUUCGCAGAAAAGUGUGAGACUGUGUAGGAAAGUAGUUCAAUAAUGCUAUUGCAAAAUGUAUAAGUGCGAAUUAAACAACAAUUAAUUCAAGAAAUGAAACAAAUAAAAGUCACUUGUGCUCUUAACUGA
Molecule: long non-coding RNA, 634 nt
Organism: Orbicella faveolata
Lineage: Eukaryota; Metazoa; Cnidaria; Anthozoa; Scleractinia; Merulinidae
Source: RefSeq, a predicted model, not a curated record